AAAAAUGGUUUUUCUUGAGAAAGUAAGAGCUCACUGCAUAGUAAUUACAUGUUAUCUCUCUCAUUUUUGGCAUGAUGAGGUUUGUAAGGUUAGUUCUUUUCCUUUCCUGCAUAUGAGUUAGUGUGUCGUCUAGGAGCUCAAGGAAGCCAAUAUGAAGCCACUUGAAGCUUGUUUUUUUAAUCUGCUGUACGGCCAAGGCGGAUGUACGGUACAGCAGAAUUUGAGUGUGUGAGACACUUCAGUGAAGAGAUUGGGAGAUAAUCUCUUUGUUGUAAAGGUUUAUUGACACCUCGAAGUCAAUUGUAAUUGUUGAAGCCUUGGAAAGGCUUGGAUAGUGAAAUCCUCGAGCUUGGAUCGCUUGGAGGCGUGGACGUAGGCGGGGAUUGCCGAACCACGUAAAAAUUCGUGUGUUUGUUUCUCUUCUCCCUUACUCUUUAAUUAUUGUGCUAUUAUUGAACUUAUUGUUUUCAAUUAUUGUUAAGACAUUAGAUUGCUUGUUGUGUGGAUUUGUUAGGAUAGAUUUUAAAAAUCCAAUUCACCCCCCCUCUUGGGUUGCACACUUGUAUUUCAAAUUUCCCAUGAUUUAAACCUGAGAUAUGGGGCCUAAGGAGAGCAAUGAUGAUUAUAAGGGCUAAGAAUAUAUGUGUGCAACGAGAGCCAGUUCACACAAUGAUUUUGUGGUUUAGAAUCAAAUGGUAGGCAUUAGCCAAGACAAUGUAAUGUGCACAUUGCAUUUACAUGUGGAUUAGGGACAAGCUGACAAAACAUUCAGCAUCAAUAUGAACAUAAGACUGCAUAGCAAACACAAUUGGUAUUAUUGAAGGAACAUCAGUUGGCUCUACUUUGAAUUUUUUGAGAAAAUUAUUUGAAAUGGGUGGGGAAGAAAAUGAUCUUCCCAUCUUGCUUCGUUAGAUCAUUUGAAAAGGAGUUAUUGUCACAUGAGAUAGCUCUUUUCCUUCUCUCAAUGGUUAUAGUGGGGGUGUUCAGUUGGAUGAUACUCUAAUUGUGGAGAAUCUGCACAUAAAAAAGGUUUUUCUUGAGAAAGUAAGAGCUCGCUGCAUAGUAAUUACAUGUUAUCUCUCUCAUUUUUGGCAUGAUGAAGUUUGUAAGGUUAGUUCUUUUCCUUUCCUGCAUAUGAGUAGUGUGUCGUCUAGGAGCUCACGGAAGCCAAUAUGAAGCCACUCGAAGCUUGCAACGAAUGCAAUUCUAACUGAAGGGUUUUUCCAAAAGAAUCUGCAGCUUGAGG
RNAcentral lists this long non-coding RNA (1246 nucleotides) under Citrus sinensis (sweet orange). RNAcentral describes it as "long non-coding RNA (CSIN_LNC000248)". Lineage: Eukaryota; Viridiplantae; Streptophyta; Magnoliopsida; Sapindales; Rutaceae. The record is from RNAcentral.